GAACAAAAUGCUGGCGAGCAGCGCUCCUCCUCCUCCCCUUCUCCUCCUCUCUCCAAAGCCCUUUACUUCCUCCUCUUCUUUCUCCGACUCGGCGCCUCCUCGCCCUCCGCUGCUGAUGUGGCUUCUCCUUCGAACACGCCCCUCAAGGGGAGAGGGAUGCGUCGCCGGUGGUGGCUGCGGCGUCUGGCUGCCGCGGCUACUAGCGCAUCCCCAUGGAGACGGCCGGCCCUUACCGCCUGGUCGACAGAGAGACUGGGGAGAAGUUCAUCGUCUGGGAAGGCUCCGAUGACAACAACGAUGCCGACACCCCCAUCCCCUCUGCGGAGGUCCUCUCUUGGAAACCCCCUGUCGCCGACGAUCGACAGGAAAGUGAGCAAUCCUUGUCCUCUCCUCCGCUUGUAACCUUCGUGGAUUACAAUUCCAUUCAUGAGGCAGAAACCCAACCUCACGUUCUAAAGAACGCGGUAAUGAGUUGGUAAAAAACCCAACAUGCGAUUUAAUUUUUCCUUUUGUUGAGACAUACACAUUGUUGAGCUGGUCAUGAUUGGUGAGGACAGGUUGAUGGUUGCUGCUUCUUCAUUAAGGGCUGGUCUUCAUACUAUGAGAUGUUUUAUCCUGAUUCUUUCUUAUCAAUCGUCUCCUAAGGUUGCAGAGGUUUUUUCAUACCACAGGAGUUGAUGUGAGUCGGCUUGCAUUACCGCUCGGUACGCAGUCCAAUAGAAGACCAAUAUAGGCGGUACAUUGGUAUAUCUUUAUAUAUCAUGUGUUUGGUAUCUUUGAUACAACUCAGUACGUAUUGUACCAACAGCUGAUCGGUACACUGGUACGGACCGGUAAGAUGAACCAUAGAUGUGAAUGAAGAGAGUUGCGCCUGCUGGUGGAUCUCUUCGAGGUUUCGGAAGGCUGAAAGGCACAGAAUCUGAAAUCCUUGAUAAAGGAAACCUCCAAAAAUUAUAUGGAAUAUUCUCAAAUUGGAAGUGCCACGAUUGCUGGAGAUUCAUCUUCAAGUGAUGCCAAUCGAAUAGAUUCAUUUGGUUCUGGCAGAGCACAGGGUGACUCUCCUCAGGAUUCAUAUUUGAAGGACAAUUCAGCAGUGAAUGAAGAGAUUGAAGCCACAAAUUCUUUUCGCUUGAAUUCUAGAGAAGAUGAUUAUGCUUCAUUUCUAGACAGAUCUGUUCCAAGGAAUGCUUCCUUCAUGGGAUGGGGAGGUGCUGCUUAGCUGGCCAGUCGAAGCAGCACAGUAAAAUGGCUACUGAUGCUGGAUUUUUUAGCAGGAAAUCUUUCAAAGAUGUCGAUUGCACAGAUGACAUGGUCGGUGCUUUGAGGGGCCUGAUGUUCCUUCGCCCUUCACAUAUUCAGGCAAUGGCAUAUUGACCUAUUAUAGAAGGAAAGACUUGUGUUAUUACUGAUCAGAGUGGAUCUGGUAAGACAUUGGAUUAUCUUGCUCCAACUAUAUAAUGCUUAAGACAGGAAGAGAUACUAGGGCUUGGUAAAGCAUCAUCAAGGAGCCCAAGAGUGAUAAUAUUGGUUCCUACUGCUGAAUUGGCUUCACAGUGGUGCUGAUGGGGAGGAGAAGAAUCCAGAUACUGCUUUGAAAAAUAAGAAAUAUGUUCUUCUGCAGCUUUUAGAAGAAUGGCAGUUCCUAAAACAAUUGUUUUCUGCAAUAAGAUUGAAAUUUGCAGAAAGGUCAAGAAUGUGUUGAAUCUCUCCGGCAGGAAAGGAUCUCAAAUCAAAGUCUUGCCAUUCCAUGCCGCUAUAGCUCAGGAAGUACUCUUAUCAAACAUGAGGGUUUCUUAACUCAUGUUCAAAAGAUUUAAUGUUUGUGAUCUGCACUGACAGAUAACACAAAUGUGGCAAAUAUUGUAUUCAUUGUCUCAAAAUUAUCUAUGUAGCUUGCUUUAGAAAGCAUGAAAAUUAGAAAACACAUCUGAUUUACUAACGCAUGUGACUUGUUUAGUUUCAUAAUCCUCGAAUUCUGGGAGCCUGCUCCAAAUCUAGCAAAGUGUGUAGCGAAAAAGAGUUGCUCAAUAAGCUAUAAUGCUGGUGUUUAGAUAGCAGUUUAGCUGGUUUAACUUUUAUCACAUGUCCUUUACUCUUGUAAGUAAUAUACUGUCAUGGCUUCCGGCUAAUGAACACUUUACCGUAGCUCAUUUGAGUUGUCUUACUUUGAUUGUGGUGAAAUAACCAAUUGCAGGAAAAGGCAUGGCUGACAAACUGAUAUUGCAUGCUGAAUUAGGUAUAAUAGCAUAGUUUUUUUAAGACCAUACACAUUAAUUAAUGAUAUAUUGAAAUCCUUGGUUACAAUUAUCUUCAUCAUGCCCUCUGCCUUUUUCUUUUUUUUUUAUCUUCCUAUGCUUCUGUUGAAUAAAAAAGAAAGAAAACCGAGAAUCUGGGUUCGGUAGGUAAUGACAUGGCAAUUAGUCCUUUUUUCCUCACUGAUAUUGAUGAUCUUUCGACAGGGCAUCACGGGGCAUAGACUUUGCAGGUGUGGACCAUGUGUUACUCUUUGACUUCCCUCGUGACCCUAUCGAGUAUGUCUGUCAUGUUGGAAGGACAGCUCAGGGCGCCGGAGGCAACGGCAUGGCCUACAGACAAAGCAGGUCUCCUUGGCCAGGAGGAUUAUGGAAAGGAACAAGAAAGGCCAUCCAUGCCAUAGCGAGAUGACAAAGAGAAGCUGUCAAGAGCAACACCGUGUACCACCGAAAACCUGAUUGGUUGAGCUGAUUCUUGAACUCGAGAACACCGGCUUUCUUUCUAUCUGCUGGUUGUGGGAUUGGAGAACUACGAGCAAAUAAAGUGGGAGACUCAUCUCCAAGCUGUAUCUUCAUUUCACAGCUUUUCAUUGUCAUGAAAGAUUUUGGCACAUAUCAACCUUAUCUAUUUUACAUUGUUUUUAUCUACACAUCAUGUCUCUGAUCCGAUGGAUCAUUGAAACAUUCCAUAUCCCCACAAGUGUAAAUUAUCAACUACAUCAGCAAGUACUAGGAUCAAAUGGUUCUUGUAUGGACAUCAAGAUCCUCACAAGUGUCAAUUAUCAAUUACAAUCGAUUUACAUUCAAUAUUAUUUGUGAA
This is a long non-coding RNA of Musa acuminata subsp. malaccensis (wild Malaysian banana), 3072 nucleotides long. RefSeq lists it as uncharacterized. The record is from RefSeq and is a predicted model, not a curated record. NCBI's taxonomy places the organism in Eukaryota, Viridiplantae, Streptophyta, Magnoliopsida, Zingiberales, Musaceae.